CAGCAGCCGCGGGAAAACGAAGGGUGCAAGCGUUAAUCGGAAUUACUGGGCGCAAAGCGCACGUAGGCGGCUUGGUAAGUUAGAGGUGAAAGCCCGGAGCUCAACUCCGGAAUUGCCUUUAAGACUGCCGAGCUAGUAGGUGAGAGAGGUAAGUGGAAUUCCGAGUGUAGAGGUGAAAUUCGUAGGUAUUCGGAAGAACACCAGUGGCGAAGGCGGCUUACUGGCUCAUUCUAGACGCUGAGGUGCGAAAGCGUGGGGAGCAAACAGGAUUAGAUACCCCCGUAGUCCCUGUCUCUUAUAC
This 301-nucleotide ribosomal RNA is filed under the name uncultured bacterium. RNAcentral's name for it is "partial 16S ribosomal RNA". It matches the Rfam family "Bacterial small subunit ribosomal RNA", at positions 509 to 807 of the family's 1533-position model. The record is from RNAcentral.